This 253-nucleotide ribosomal RNA is filed under the name uncultured bacterium. Its description in RNAcentral is "partial 16S ribosomal RNA". It matches the Rfam family "Bacterial small subunit ribosomal RNA", at positions 524 to 776 of the family's 1533-position model. The record is from RNAcentral.
UACGAAGGGGGCUAGCGUUGCUCGGAAUUACUGGGCGUAAAGCGCACGUAGGCGGCUUUCUAAGUCGGGGGUGAAAUCCUGGAGCUCAACUCCAGAACUGCCUUCGAUACUGGAAAGCUCGAGUCCGGGAGAGGUGAGUGGAACUGCGAGUGUAGAGGUGAAAUGCGCAGAUAUCGGGAGGAACACCAAUGGCGAAGGCAGCUCGCUGGGACGGUACUGACGCUGAGACGCGAAAGCGUGGGGAGCAAACAGG